RNAcentral lists this small nuclear RNA (196 nucleotides) under Capsella rubella. RNAcentral describes it as "U2 spliceosomal RNA". It matches the Rfam family "U2 spliceosomal RNA". From Rfam's summary of the family: U2 is a small nuclear RNA (snRNA) component of the spliceosome (involved in pre-mRNA splicing). Complementary binding between U2 snRNA (in an area lying towards the 5' end but 3' to hairpin I) and the branchpoint sequence (BPS) of the intron results the bulging out of an unpaired adenosine, on the BPS, which initiates a nucleophilic attack at the intronic 5' splice site, thus starting the first of two transesterification reactions that mediate splicing. The record is from Rfam by way of RNAcentral. Lineage: Eukaryota; Viridiplantae; Streptophyta; Magnoliopsida; Brassicales; Brassicaceae.
AUACCUUUCUCGGCCUUUUGGCUAAGAUCAAGUGUAGUAUCUGUUCUUAUCAGUUUAAUAUCUGAUAUAUGGGUCAUCGGCCCAUACGAUAUUAACUCUAUUUUUUAAGGGGGACAGCCCGUUAAGAUAGCUUGCUAUCUGGGCUUUCGCGAGUCGCCCAUGCUUUGCACUACUGCACGGGCCUGGCUCAUCCCGC